RNAcentral lists this long non-coding RNA (1299 nucleotides) under Ananas comosus (pineapple). RNAcentral's name for it is "long non-coding RNA (ACOM_LNC021520)". The record is from RNAcentral. Lineage: Eukaryota; Viridiplantae; Streptophyta; Magnoliopsida; Poales; Bromeliaceae.
CUCCAUAUUUGUAAGUUAUUUUCGAUGAUAGAAUAUCUAAUUUGAUUAUCGGUUACAUUUGGCAUAAUCUACACUAUUGUAACUAUCUAAAAACUAAAUUUCAUAAAGUUUCAACAUUAUUAUUAAGUGAUCGAAAGGUCUCAUAAAUGUCUAUUUUAACAGUUGAUAUGUCACGUUUUUAAGUUCAACGGUGUAGAACAAUCCAAAUUAUAUGAAACUUUAAUAGAAAAUUCUAUUUAACAUCAAUAGCAAGAUCGAAACUUCUAAUAUGAAAUUUAAGUUUUUUAUCACUGUUUUUUAUGAGAUUUUUAUUUUCAACCGUUCAUUUUGAGGUUACUCAUUCACUAAGUAAAUGAAGUUAAAAAAUUAUGAAAUUUCAUUUCUCGAUAGUUCCAAUAACGUAAAUCAUGUCUAACAGAGCCGAUCGUCGAAUCAGAUAUCCCAUCAUCGAAAACAAAUUAUAAGUACGGAGUCCUCCAUACUUUCGAAAGCAUAAGAGCCUUGCUCUCUUUCUCUAUAUAUAGAGAGAGAGAGAGAGAGCGCGAGAGAAAGAGAGAGUAGGUCUUGUGUGCUAUUAGAAGCACAGAAGCCUCCGUGCUCCUAAACCGUUUUUGAUGAUGGAACUUCCGAAUCAACUAUCGGCUCCGUUUGACUUGAUCUAACGUAUUCAAACUAUUUAGAAAAUGAUUUUUGCAGAUUUUUUAUAUCAUUUACCUAGUAAUCGAAAAUAAUUUUUACAGAUUUUCGUUAUCAUUUUAAAAAUUAAAAAUUAAAUUUUGAAAUUUUAGAUUUAAAUAUAAAUUUUAAAAUUUUAAAUUUUAAAUUAUAAAAAUUUAAAAUUAAAAUUUUAGAUUUAAAUAUUUAAAAUUUUAAAUUUCAAAUUUCAAGAUUUAAAUUUCAAAUUUAAGAUUUAAAUUUAAAAUUUAAAUUUAAAUUUAAAAUUUAAAAAUUGAAAAUUGAAAAUUAAAAAUUAAAAUUCUAAAUUUAAAAGUUGACAAUUUAAAAUUUUAAAUGAAAAUUUUUUAAAAUGACGUAUUAAAAAGGUUUUGAGAGUUGGAGGGGUAAACUUGUAAGUUUUUAUAACAUGCAUGAUUAGUCGCCUUCAGUAAUUCAAGAUACACAGUUCCUUCGGUAAUAUUUUUAGUAUAAUCUUACACCAUUUGUAAUGCUAUACUACCAAACAAAUUACAUACCAGAUGAACCAAAUAUAAGAAUUCUAACAGGAUUGCCUAUAACCCUGCCAGGAUAAUCCGAACCAAACACAUCCUAAGUUCUUUUUCUUUAUUGUACACUACUGUU